This 253-nucleotide ribosomal RNA is filed under the name uncultured bacterium. RNAcentral's name for it is "partial 16S ribosomal RNA". It matches the Rfam family "Bacterial small subunit ribosomal RNA", at positions 524 to 776 of the family's 1533-position model. The record is from RNAcentral.
UACGUAGGCAGCGAGCGUUGUUCGGAGUUACUGGGCGUAAAGGGUGUGUAGGCGGUUGCUUAAGUUUGGUGUGAAAUCUCCCGGCUCAACCGGGAGGGUGCGCCGAAUACUGAGUGACUAGAGUGCGGGAGAGGAAAGUGGAAUUCCUGGUGUAGCGGUGAAAUGCGUAGAUAUCAGGAGGAACACCUGUGGUGUAGACAGCUUACUGGACCAUUUCUGACGCUGAGACACGAAAGCGUGGGUAGCAAACAGG